This 85-nucleotide transfer RNA is filed under the name Bacteriophage sp. Its description in RNAcentral is "tRNA-OTHER". It matches the Rfam family "tRNA". Rfam says of the family: Transfer RNA (tRNA) molecules are approximately 80 nucleotides in length. Their secondary structure includes four short double-helical elements and three loops (D, anti-codon, and T loops). The record is from RNAcentral. RNAcentral also lists the same sequence under 1 other name.
GCAGACAUAGCUCAGAUGGCAAGAGCCACCGGUUUUAUUGGGCCGGGAGUAAGGGUCGCGGGUUCGAGCCCCGCUGUCUGCGCCA